AUCAACCAAAUAUGCCUCCUCUCAAAGUCAAAUCCGCCCCCCCGCCCCCUUUGGCCUUUCCCCAUCUCCUUCGGCUUCUCAAAAUCAAACCCUAAACCUAAAAUCUCCUUCUCCUUCUCAAGUCCCCUUGCUUCUACUUCUCAGUUCUUACCGUGUCGCCAGUUCGCCAAUUAUUCCUUGACGAUUAGUUCAACUGUUCUCCACUCUUUCUUUGAAUUACCUUAGGUCUUUGCAGAAGCCAUGGCAAAGCAUCACCCGGAUCUUAUUAUGUGCCGGAAGCAACCAGGGAUUGCUAUUGGACGGCUAUGUGAGAAAUGUGAUGGGUAGAUGUGUUAUCUGUGGAGGUGUCGGCAUUUCAGACGCGUAUUACUGUAAGGAGUGCACUCAACAGGAGAAGGAUAGAGAUGGGUGUCCAAAAAUCGUCAAUCUAGGAAGUGCUAAAACAGAUCUCUUCUAUGAACGGAAGAAAUACGGCUUCAAGAAAAGAUGAUUUAGGCUGAUUUCUUUAAGACGGUAGAAGGGACUACUUUCUUAGAUUAUGUUCUACCUUAUAGAUUAAGUGAUUGGUAAAUAAUGUAAAAUUUGAGAUGAGACAUUCGAAGAUGGUAGAAAGGACUACUCAUUAUUUGCUAGUUUAAAGGAUUUGGGUUAAUUUUUCGCAAUUAAAAUAUGAAAAGCAUUUGGUAUAAAAUUAUAAUAAUAAACGUCGUUAGGUUGAGUCAAAUUUCAGUGAUUCAGAACGAGCUGAUCAUUGGCUUUCAAGUUUGCAUAAACUCAAUCUAACGUUCUGAGUUUUUGUUAGCUAUAGAUCAAAACUUUCAACUUUCAAUUAAUUUCAUGAAAAAUUACUUAAUUCCAACUUUAAAUGAUUUAGUUCUAAAAAUCUUGACUUAUGAUUGAUAUUUAAAAAUUUAAAAUGUAGGGAUUGUGUAAUUUUAAAAUGGUGGACUCCUUGGUAACAGGUAGUGGGAGUUAAACAUAAUACGGGGUAGUAUCCUAUUGGUCUACCGCAACUCUCUUGAGAGACUGUUUGUUUUUAUAAGAGACAACUCUUAGGUUCAGUCUAA
RNA transcript from Amaranthus tricolor (Joseph's coat), 1067 nucleotides. It is a transcript of the gene named PHD finger-like domain-containing protein 5A, with no coding region annotated. NCBI's taxonomy places the organism in Eukaryota, Viridiplantae, Streptophyta, Magnoliopsida, Caryophyllales, Amaranthaceae. The transcript is spliced from 3 exons. The record is from RefSeq and is a predicted model, not a curated record.